Molecule: ribosomal RNA, 253 nt
Filed under: uncultured bacterium
Lineage: Bacteria
Description: partial 16S ribosomal RNA
Rfam family: Bacterial small subunit ribosomal RNA
Source: RNAcentral
UACGGAGGGCGCGAGCGUUGUUCGGAAUCACUGGGCGUAAAGCGCGUGUAGGCGGCCGAGCAAGUCGGAUGUGAAAUCCCGAGGCUCAACCUCGGAACUGCAUUCGAAACUGCUCGGCUCGAGUCCCGGAGAGGAUGGCGGAAUUCCCGGUGUAGGGGUGAAAUCCGUAGAUAUCGGGAGGAACACCAGUGGCGAAGGCGGCCAUCUGGACGGUGACUGACGCUGAGACGCGAAAGCGUGGGGAGCAAACAGG